AAGCUCGUAGUUGAAUUUCGGGGUUCUACCGUCGGUCGGGCUACCAAGUCUGUACUGGUGUGUAGAAUUUCUACCUUCUGGAGAACCAUCAUGUUAUUAAUUUAGCGUGGUGGGAAACCAGGACCUUUACCUUGAAAAAAUUAGAGUGUUCAAAGCAGGCUUAUGUCUGAAUACAUUAGCAUGGAAUAAUAGAAUAGGACGGUGGUCCUGUUUUGUUGGUUCCUGAAUCACCGUAAUGAUUAAUAGGGAUAGUUGGG
Molecule: ribosomal RNA, 257 nt
Filed under: uncultured Glomeromycotina
Lineage: Eukaryota; Fungi; Glomeromycota
Description: partial 18S ribosomal RNA
Rfam family: Eukaryotic small subunit ribosomal RNA
Source: RNAcentral